UUAUUGGGCGUAAGCGCGCGCAGGUGGUUUCUUAAGUCUGAUGUGAAAGCCCACGGCUCAACCGUGGAGGGUCAUUGGAAACUGGGAGACUUGAGUGCAGAAGAGGAAAGUGGAAUUCCAUGUGUAGCGGUGAAAUGCGUAGAGAUAUGGAGGAACACCAGUGGCGAAGGCGACUUUCUGGUCUGUAACUGACACUGAGGCGCGAAAGCGUGGGGAGCAAACAGGAUUAGAUACCCUGGUAGUCCACGCCGUAAACGAUGAGUGCUAAGUGUUAGAGGGUUUCCGCCCUUUAGUGCUGAAGUUAACGCAUUAACCACUCCGCCUGGGGAGCACG
Molecule: ribosomal RNA, 334 nt
Filed under: Bacillus cereus
Lineage: Bacteria; Bacillati; Bacillota; Bacilli; Caryophanales; Bacillaceae
Description: bacterial SSU rRNA
Rfam family: Bacterial small subunit ribosomal RNA
Source: RNAcentral